UCUGGUUGAUCCUGCCAGUAGUCAUAUGCUUGUCUCAAAGAUUAAGCCAUGCAUGUCUAAGUAUAAAUAGUAUACAGUGAAACUGCGAAUGGCUCAUUAAAACAGUUAUAGUUUAUUUGAUAAUUGACAAUUACAUGGAUAACCGUGGUAAUUCUAGAGCUAAUACAUGCUUAAACGCCCGACUUUAUGGAAGGGUGGUAUUUAUUAGACUGAAGCCAAUAUUCCUUGUGUCUAUUGCGGUGAUUCAUAAUAACUGAUCGAAUCUCUUUUUGAGAUAAAUCAUUCAAGUUUCUGCCCUAUCAGCUUUCGAUGGUAGUGUAUUGGACUACCAUGGCAGUAACGGGUAACGAAGAAUUAGGGUUCGAUUUCGGAGAGGGAGCAUGAGAAACGGCUACCACAUCUAAGGAAGGCAGCAGGCGCGUAAAUUACCCAAUCCUGACUCAGGGAGGUAGUGACAAGAAAUAGCAAACCGGGAACCCAUGGUUUCACGGUAUUGCAAUGAGAACAAUUUAAAACCCUUAGCGAGAAUCAAGUGGAGGACAAGUCUGGUGCCAGCACCCGCGGUAAUUCCAGCUCCACUAGCGUAUAUUAAAGUUGUUGCAGUUAAAAAGCUCGUAGUUGAACCUCUGUCUGGGGCUAGUUUUGGCUUUGGUCAGGCUAGUUCUAGGCAUCCGCCUACAAGACUUAGAGGGCAUUCAGUUGUUCACUAGGAGGAGUAGGCAUUUUACUUUGAAAAAAUUAGAGUGUUUAAGGCAGACAAUCGCCCGCAUAUAUUAGCAUGGAAUAAUAGAAUAGGACACUUUUCCAUUUCGUUGGUUAUUGGAAUCGUGUAAUGAUUAAUAGGGACAGUUGUGGGCAUUUGUAUUUAAUUGUCAGAGGUGAAAUUCUUGGAUUUAUUAAAGACAAACUAACGCGAAAGCAUUUGCCAAGGAUGUUUUCAUUAAUCAAGAACGAAAGUUAGGGGAUCAAAGACGAUCAGAUACCGUCCUAGUCUUAACUAUAAACUAUUCCGACUCAAUGUUUGACUGGCUUAUAUAACCAGUUGAGCGUUGUAUGAGAAAUCAAAGUCUUUAGGUUCUGGGGGGAGUAUGGUUGCAAAGCUGAAACUUAAGGGAAUUGACGGAAGAGCACAACCAGGAGUGGAUUCUGCGGCUUAAUUUGACUCAACACGGGGAAACUUACCAGGUUAAAACAAUAGUGGGAUUGACAGUUUGAGAGCGCUUUCUUGAUUGGUUGGGUGGUGGUGCAUGGCCGUUCUUAGUUGGUGGAGUGAUUUGUCUGCUUAAUUGCGUUAACGAACGAGACCUUAACCUGCUUACUAGAC
This 1324-nucleotide ribosomal RNA is filed under the name metagenome. Its description in RNAcentral is "SSU rRNA". It matches the Rfam family "Eukaryotic small subunit ribosomal RNA", at positions 1 to 1360 of the family's 1831-position model. The record is from RNAcentral.